UCCCCUUCAGAUUGAGAACAAAAAUGGCGCAUUCCUUUAUCUUCACAAAAGAAGAACCAGCGAAGAGGGCACAAUCAGAUAGAGACCAAAAAAGAGAGAGACUCUCGAACCAAAAAGAAAAAAGCGUUGUUCUUCAAUCUUCCUCCCGAUCUCUCUCGAUUGAACACAAAAACGGACUUCAUACUCUUCGCUUCAACACCCAGUAACGACCACACAAACGCCCCCAUCGUAAAAUCAUCAAACCAACCCCAAAUGGCCAUGAAACUGACCAAAAUUCCAGCGAAAAAUAACACCCAAAAACAGCUCCAAAUCCGGAAUCGAACCCAGAUUUGAGACUUCUAAAAGGACUCCAAAAAACACAAAAUAAAGAAAAACAGAGAUAAAGAAAAAAGAGAGAUCUUCGAGCUCGAUGAAGUUGUAGAACUUGGCUCGAAGCUGUUUUUCGGAUUUUUCUUCCCUUGGUUUGUUACUGUGUUGUUGUUGUACCUGCUAUAUUUGUGGAUUUUCUCUUUGCUUUGCUGAGUUCCAUAUCAUUCAACGUCCACUGUAUUCCGUUUCUUCUAUCUUUCUUAAAGAUCCAGGUACACCACAGGCUGAGUGAGGAUUUGUUUAGUUGAGCAGCAGUAUCCGAGAGUAUUGAGAUGGCGAGGACUCAUUCUACUGGACGAGGUGGACGACCACCAGCGCCACCCACUGAUGCCACCAGAAGCCGUGGACGCGGUCGUGGGCGUGGCAGAGGUAGAGUAGCGCGGGUAGCACCUGUUAAUCCACCAGCUUCCCCAGUUCCAGAUCAGGCUCCAGCAGCUGUAC
Non-coding RNA from Nicotiana tabacum (common tobacco), 810 nucleotides. Lineage: Eukaryota; Viridiplantae; Streptophyta; Magnoliopsida; Solanales; Solanaceae. The record is from RefSeq and is a predicted model, not a curated record.